CUUGGUCAUUUAGAGGAAGUAAAAGUCGUAACAAGGUUUCCGUAGGUGAACCUGCGGAAGGAUCAUUAGUGAUAAAACUAUUAUCUUAACACCUGUGAACUGUGAACCGAAAGGUUCUUCCAAACAUUGUGUAAUGAACGUAAUACAUUAUAAACAAUACAACUUUCAACAACGGAUCUCUUGGCUCUCGCAUCGAUGAAGAACGCAGCGAAAUGCGAUAAGUAAUGUGAAUUGCAGAAUUCAGUGAAUCAUCGAAUCUUUGAACGCAACUUGCGCUCUCUGGUAUUCCGGAGAGCAUGCCUGUUUGAGUGUCAUGAUCUCUCAACCAAUAGAGUUUUCUAUUGGCUUGGAUCUGGGUGUUGCGAGCGAUCGCUCACCUUAAAGGAGUUAGCAUAUAGCAUGUCGUUUGGCGUAAUAAGUUUCGCUUAGUAAAUCGACAAGGCUUUGCUUCUAAUCGUCUUUUGACUUUUUUGACUCUGGCCUCAAAUCAGGUAGGACUACCCGCUGAACUUAAGCAUAUCAAUAAGCGGAGGA
RNAcentral lists this ribosomal RNA (534 nucleotides) under uncultured fungus. RNAcentral describes it as "eukaryotic LSU rRNA". The stretch from base 161 to 314 matches the Rfam family "5.8S ribosomal RNA". The record is from RNAcentral. Lineage: Eukaryota; Fungi.